AUUGAACGCUGGCGGCAGGCUUAACACAUGCAAGUCGAGCGGGGUGAUGGUGCUUGCACUAUCACUUAGCGGCGGACGGGUGAGUAAUGCUUAGGAAUCUGCCUAUUAGUGGGGGACAACAUCUCGAAAGGGAUGCUAAUACCGCAUACGUCCUACGGGAGAAAGCAGGGGAUCACUUGUGACCUUGCGCUAAUAGAUGAGCCUAAGUCGGGUUAGCUAGUUGGUGGGGUAAAGGCCUACCAAGGCGACGAUCUGUAGCGGGUCUGAGAGGAUGAUACGCCACACUGGGACUGAAACACGGCCCAGACUCCUACGGGAGGCAGCAGUGGGGAAUAUUGGACAAUGGGGGGAACCCUGAUCCAGCCAUGCCGCGUGUGUGAAGAAGGCCUUAUGGUUGUAAAGCACUUUAAGCGAGGAGGAGGCUCUUUUGGUUAAUACCCAAGAUGAGUGGACGUUACUCGCAGAAUAAGCACCGGCUAACUCUGUGCCAGCCGCCGCAGUAA
Molecule: ribosomal RNA, 503 nt
Filed under: uncultured bacterium
Lineage: Bacteria
Description: partial 16S ribosomal RNA
Rfam family: Bacterial small subunit ribosomal RNA
Source: RNAcentral